GGGGAUCUUGGGCAAUGGGCGAGNCCUGCCCAGCGACGCCGCGUGAGGGAAGAAGGCCCUCGGGUCGUAAACCUCUGUCAGGAGGGAAGAAAAUGCUACAUAUUAAUAGUGUGUAGUAUUGACGGUACCUCCAGAGGAAGCGCCGGCCAACUCCGUGCCAGCAGCCGCGGUAAUACGGAGGGCGCAAGCGUUAUUCGGAAUUACUGGGCGUAAAGCGCGCGUAGGCGGCAACGUAAGUCAGGUGUGAAAGUCCUCGGCUCACCCGGGGGAUGGCACUUGAAACUGCGUAGCUGGAGUUCUGGAGAGGGUGGCGGAAUUCCCGGUGUAGGAGUGAAAUCCGUAGAGAUCGGGAGGAACACCAGAGGCGAAGGCGGCCACCUGGCCAGAAACUGACGCUGAGGCGCGAAAGCGUGGGUAGCAAACAGGAUUAGAUACCCUGGUAGUCCACGCUGUAAACAUUGGAUGCUAGAUGCGGGUGACGUAGAAGUCAUUCGUGUCGCAGCUAACGCGUUAAGCAUCCCGCCUGGGGAGUACGGCCGCAAGGCUGAAACUCAAAGGAAUUGACGGGGGCCUGCACAAGCGGUGGAGUAUGUGGUUUAAUUCGAUGCAACGCGAAGAACCUUACCUGGGCUUGACAUCCCGGGAAUCGUCUAGAGAUAGGCGAGUGCCCUUCGGGGAGCCCGGNGACAGGUGCUGCAUGGCUGNCGUCAGCUCGUGCCGNGAGGUGUUGGGUUAAGUCCCGNACNAGCGCAACCCCUGUUCCUAGUUGCCAUNANGNANNGCUG
Molecule: ribosomal RNA, 785 nt
Filed under: uncultured delta proteobacterium
Lineage: Bacteria; Deltaproteobacteria
Description: bacterial SSU rRNA
Rfam family: Bacterial small subunit ribosomal RNA
Source: RNAcentral